AGUGAACGCUGGCGGUAGGCCUAACACAUGCAAGUCGAACGGCAGCACAGUAAGAGCUUGCUCUUACGGGUGGCGAGUGGCGGACGGGUGAGGAAUACAUCGGAAUCUACUUUUUCGUGGGGGAUAACGUAGGGAAACUUACGCUAAUACCGCAUACGACCUACGGGUGAAAGCAGGGGAUCUUCGGACCUUGCGCGAUUGAAUGAGCCGAUGUCGGAUUAGCUAGUUGGCGGGGUAAAGGCCCACCAAGGCGACGAUCCGUAGCUGGCCUGAGAGGAUGCUCAGCCACACUGGAACUGAGACACGGUCCAGACUCCUACGGGAGGCAGCAGUGGGGAAUAUUGGACAAUGGGCGCGAGCCUGAUCCAGCCAUGCCGCGUGGGUGAAGAAGGCCUUCGGGUUGUAAUGCCCUUUUGUUGGGAAAGAAAAGCAGCAGGUUAAUACCCCGCUAUUCUGACGGUACCCAAAGAAUAAGCACCGGCUAACUUCGUG
This 492-nucleotide ribosomal RNA is filed under the name uncultured bacterium. Its description in RNAcentral is "partial 16S ribosomal RNA". It matches the Rfam family "Bacterial small subunit ribosomal RNA", at positions 29 to 507 of the family's 1533-position model. The record is from RNAcentral.